Passer montanus (Eurasian tree sparrow) is the source of this 312-nucleotide long non-coding RNA. RefSeq lists it as uncharacterized. The record is from RefSeq and is a predicted model, not a curated record. The transcript is spliced from 3 exons. NCBI's taxonomy places the organism in Eukaryota, Metazoa, Chordata, Aves, Passeriformes, Passeridae.
UUGUGGAAAAGGCGCCCAAGGCCCGGAUCGGGGACCUGGACAAGAAGAAAUACCUGGUGCCCUCCGACCUCACAGUGGGCCAGUUCUAUUUCCUGAUCAGGAAGAGGAUCCACCUGCGGGCUGAGGACGCUGCUCAGUUUUUGGUGGGCCAGUUCUAUUUCCUGAUCAGGAAGAGGAUCCACCUGCGGGCUGAGGACGCUGCUCAGUUUUUGGGUGGAUUUUGGGUUAAUUUUUGGCAUUUUUUAGCGGUUUUUUUUGGGUUUUUUCUGGUUUUUAGGUUGAUUUUGGGCUGAUUUUGGUGUUUUUGGAUAU